AACUGCCUGAUGGAGGGGGAUAACUACUGGAAACGGUAGCUAAUACCGCAUAACGUCGCAAGACCAAAGAGGGGGACCUUCGGGCCUCUUGCCAUCGGAUGUGCCCAGAUGGGAUUAGCUAGUAGGUGGGGUAACGGCUCACCUAGGCGACGAUCCCUAGCUGGUCUGAGAGGAUGACCAGCCACACUGGAACUGAGACACGGUCCAGACUCCUACGGGAGGCAGCAGUGGGGAAUAUUGCACAAUGGGCGCAAGCCUGAUGCAGCCAUGCCGCGUGUAUGAAGAAGGCCUUCGGGUUGUAAAGUACUUUCAGCGGGGAGGAA
RNAcentral lists this ribosomal RNA (323 nucleotides) under Escherichia coli. RNAcentral's name for it is "bacterial SSU rRNA". It matches the Rfam family "Bacterial small subunit ribosomal RNA", at positions 124 to 449 of the family's 1533-position model. RNAcentral also lists the same sequence under 1 other name. The record is from RNAcentral. Lineage: Bacteria; Pseudomonadati; Pseudomonadota; Gammaproteobacteria; Enterobacterales; Enterobacteriaceae.